CUAAAAGUAGCUUAUUUUAAAGCUUUGGAUUCUUACUCCUAGGAUGUUGCUUAAACCUUUUAGG
This 64-nucleotide transfer RNA is filed under the name Paragonimus ohirai. RNAcentral's name for it is "tRNA-Lys". It matches the Rfam family "tRNA". Rfam says of the family: Transfer RNA (tRNA) molecules are approximately 80 nucleotides in length. Their secondary structure includes four short double-helical elements and three loops (D, anti-codon, and T loops). Further hydrogen bonds mediate the characteristic L-shaped molecular structure. tRNAs have two regions of fundamental functional importance: the anti-codon, which is responsible for specific mRNA codon recognition, and the 3' end, to which the tRNAs corresponding amino acid is attached (by aminoacyl-tRNA synthetases). tRNAs cope with the degeneracy of the genetic code in two manners: having more than one tRNA (with a specific anti-codon) for a particular amino acid; and 'wobble' base-pairing, i.e. permitting non-standard base-pairing at the 3rd anti-codon position. RNAcentral also lists the same sequence under 1 other name. Lineage: Eukaryota; Metazoa; Platyhelminthes; Trematoda; Plagiorchiida; Troglotrematidae. The record is from RNAcentral.